UCCCCGUUAUCCGGGGCGGUUUCGCCAGAGUGCUCACCAUAACGUGUUAGCAACUGGCAAUAAGGGUUGCGCUCGUUGCGGGACUUAACCCAACAUCUCACGACACGAGCUGACGACAGCCAUGCAGCACCUAUGCAGCAGUCCUUGCGGAAAGGGAUGUUUCCACCCCGGUCCACUGCAUUUCGAGCCCAGGUAAGGUUCUUCGCGUUGCGUCGAAUUGAACCACAUGCUCCACCGCUUGUGCGGGCCCCCGUCAAUUCCUUUGAGUUUCAGCCUUGCGGCCGUACUCCCCAGGCGGAUUGCUUAUCGCGUUAGCUGCGGCACGACGGGAUUGGGUACCCGCCACACCAAGCAAUCAUCGUUUAGGGCUAGGACUAC
This 378-nucleotide unclassified non-coding RNA is filed under the name uncultured Terriglobales bacterium. RNAcentral describes it as "uncultured Acidobacteriales bacterium contains 16S-23S intergenic spacer region". Lineage: Bacteria; Pseudomonadati; Acidobacteriota; Terriglobia; Terriglobales. The record is from RNAcentral.